Molecule: ribosomal RNA, 245 nt
Filed under: uncultured Chlorobium sp.
Lineage: Bacteria; Pseudomonadati; Chlorobiota; Chlorobiia; Chlorobiales; Chlorobiaceae
Description: partial 16S ribosomal RNA
Rfam family: Bacterial small subunit ribosomal RNA
Source: RNAcentral
UACGUAGGAUCCAAGCGUUGUCCGGAUUUACUGGGUGUAAAGGGUGCGCAGGCGGGCUGGUAAGUCUGGGGUGAAAUCUCGCCGCUCAACGGCGAAACUGCCUUAGAUACUAUCAGUCUUGAAUAAGCGAGAGAUCCGUGGAAUUCCGAGUGUAGCAGUGAAAUGUGUAGAUAUUCGGAAGAACACCAGCGGCGAAGGCAGCGGGUUGGCGCUUUAUUGACGCUCAGGCACGAAAGCAUGGGGAU